This 763-nucleotide long non-coding RNA is filed under the name Malus domestica (apple). RNAcentral describes it as "long non-coding RNA (MDOM_LNC007007)". The record is from RNAcentral. Lineage: Eukaryota; Viridiplantae; Streptophyta; Magnoliopsida; Rosales; Rosaceae.
UAAAUGGCGCACCCGAUUGCGGAGGCGAACGAACAAAGCCCCUUCGGCGCGUUGACCCCAGAGGCAUUCUAUUCCCGCCACAACGUCUCUCACGCCUCCGAGUACUUCACAAACCCUAGAGGCCUCAAGCGCUUCACCCAGUGGUGGACCCCGCUCCCUCCGACCGAGAUUGUAGGAACCCUCGCCAUCGUCCACGGCUUCACCGGCGAGACCAGCUGGUUCGUCCAGCUCACCGCCGUCCACUUCGCCAAGUCUGGCUUCGUCGUCUGCGCCAUUGAUCAUCAGGGUCACGGCUUCUCCGAUGGCCUCGCCGCCCACAUCCCCGACAUCAACCCCGUCGUCGACGACUGCAUCUCCUUCUUCGACUCAUUCCGAGCCAAUCACGCGCCGAAGAACCGCCCCUCGUUCCUCUACGCCGAGUCCCUCGGUGGCGCCAUCGCACUCCUCAUGACUUUCCGGCAGGGAAGCGGCGCGUGGGAUGGCCUCAUCCUCAAUGGCGCCAUGUGCGGGAUCAGCCCCAAGUUUAAGCCGCCGUGGCCGCUCGAGCACCUGCUAUUUCUCGUCGCCGCGGUGAUACCGACGUGGCGGGUUGUCCCCACCCGCGGAUCGAUUACGGACGUGUCGUUCAAGGAGGAGUGGAAGCGGAAGCUGGCGCUGGCGAACCCGAGGAGGCCGGUGGCGAGGCCUCGCGCAUCGACGGCUCUUGAGCUGCUGAGAGUGUGUAAGGAGCUGCAGGGGAGAUUCGAGGAGAUGGAGGUGCCGG